CACAGUUCUAACUUGUAAUGAAACAUAUAAUCUCAGAGAUUCAAAGAAUCAGCCAAACAAUACCUUGUAACAAUUUCUACCUCUUUCUGUGAAUGGCCACGAUGGCGCGUGCAAUUCACUGUGAGCUCGGUGCGCAGAAACCUGCCGUUUUGAGGAGAGAGACUCCGGUUUCGGUUCAGGUUCCUGCUCCAAAGAUAAAGCUGGGGGAAACGGAUCAAAACGCGAAGAUUAUAUUGCAGCCAAGGCUGUGUACGCUGAGAUCGUACGGUGAGGAUCGUUUUGCGGUGGUGAAGACCAGAAAGGACGGCGGAGAUGAGGUGUCGCCGUUUUUU
Molecule: unclassified non-coding RNA, 332 nt
Filed under: Hevea brasiliensis (rubber tree)
Lineage: Eukaryota; Viridiplantae; Streptophyta; Magnoliopsida; Malpighiales; Euphorbiaceae
Source: RNAcentral